RNAcentral lists this transfer RNA (75 nucleotides) under Grammomys surdaster. RNAcentral's name for it is "tRNA-Leu". It matches the Rfam family "tRNA". From Rfam's summary of the family: Transfer RNA (tRNA) molecules are approximately 80 nucleotides in length. Their secondary structure includes four short double-helical elements and three loops (D, anti-codon, and T loops). The record is from RNAcentral. Lineage: Eukaryota; Metazoa; Chordata; Mammalia; Rodentia; Muridae.
AUUAGGGUGGCAGAGCCAGGUAACUGCAUAAGAUUUAAAACCUUAUUACCAGAGGUUCAAAUCCUCUUCCUAAUA